UAGCUAGUUGGUGAGGUAAAGGCUUACCAAGGCGACGAUCUGUAGCGGGUCUGAGAGGAUGAUCCGCCACACUGUAACUGAGACACGGUCCAGACUCCUACGGGAGGCAGCAGUGGGGAAUUUUGGACAAUGGGGGCAACCCUGAUCCAGCCAUGCCGCGUGAGUGAAGAAGGCCUUCGGGUUGUAAAGCUCUUUCGGCCGGGAAGAAAUCGCAUGGGCCAAUACCCUGUGUGGAUGACGGUACCGGAAUAAGAAGCACCGGCUAACUACGUGCCAGCAGCCGCGGUAAUACGUAGGGUGCGAGCGUUAAUCGGAAUUACUGGGCGUAAAGCGUGCGCAGGCGGUUUUGUAAGACAGGCGUGAAAUCCCCGGGCUUAACCUGGGAACUGCGUUUGUGACUGCAAGGCUAGAGUACGGCAGAGGGGGGUGGAAUUCCACGUGUAGCAGUGAAAUGCGUAGAGAUGUGGAGGAACACCAAUGGCGAAGGCAGCCCCCUGGGUCGAUACUGACGCUCAUGCACGAAAGCGUGGGUAGCAAACAGGAUUAGAUACCCUGGUAGUCCACGCCCUAAACUAUGUCAACUAGGUGUUGGGUGGGUAAAACCAUUUAGUACCGUAGCUAACGCGUGAAGUUGACCGCCUGGGGAGUACGGCCGCAAGGUUAAAACUCAAAGGAAUUGACGGGGACCCGCACAAGCGGUGGAUGAUGUGGAUUAAUUCGAUGCAACGCGAAAAACCUUACCUACCCUUGACAUGCCAGGAACUUGCCAGAGAUGGCUUGGUGCCCGAAAGGGAGCCUGGACACAGGUGCUGCAUGGCUGUCGUCAGCUCGUGUCGUGAGAUGUUGGGUUAAGUCCCGCAACGAGCGCAACCCUUGUCGUUAAUUGCCAUCAUUUAGUUGGGCACUUUAACGAGACUGCCGGUGACAAACCGGAGGAAGGUGGGGAUGACGUCAAGUCCUCAUGGCCCUUAUGGGUAGGGCUUCACACGUCAUACAAUGGUCGGUACAAAGGGUUGCCAAGCCGCGAGGCGGAGCCAAUCCCAGAAAGCCGAUCGUAGUCCGGAUUGCAGGCUGCAACUCGCCUGCAUGAAGUCGGAAUCGCUAGUAAUCGUGGAUCAGCAUGUCACGGUGAAUACGUUCCCGGGUCUUGUACACACCGCCCGUCACACCAUGGGAGCGGGUUCCGCCAGAAGUAGGUAGCCUAACCGCAAGGGGGGCGCUUACCACGGCGGGGUUCGUGACUGGGGUGAAGUCGGAACAAGGUAGCCGUAGGGGAACCUGCGGCUG
RNAcentral lists this ribosomal RNA (1287 nucleotides) under metagenome. Its description in RNAcentral is "bacterial SSU rRNA". It matches the Rfam family "Bacterial small subunit ribosomal RNA", at positions 242 to 1520 of the family's 1533-position model. The record is from RNAcentral.